RNAcentral lists this long non-coding RNA (114 nucleotides) under Neodiprion pinetum (white pine sawfly). RNAcentral describes it as "uncharacterized LOC124216331". The record is from RNAcentral. Lineage: Eukaryota; Metazoa; Arthropoda; Insecta; Hymenoptera; Diprionidae.
GGCUGAGGAUUUGUGCUCGGUAUAACCCGAGGUGGUUGGAGGUGGUCGAGCUGGACGAGGUGGCGGACGAGGAUUCGUGCUCGUUCUGUGCCCCACCUAGUGAUCCACUAGUAC